UGCUGCCUAUACUGCAAGUCGAGCGGAUCUUCUCCUUCGGGAUAAGUUAGCGGCGGACGGGUGAGUAACACGUAAGCAACCUGCCCACAAGACCGGGAUAACAUUCGGAAACGAAUGCUAAGACCGGAUACGCAAGCUUGUCGCAUGACGGGCUUGGGAAACACGGCGCAAGCUGUGGCUUGCGGAUGGGCCUGCGGCGCAUUAGCUAGUUGGUGGGGUAACGGCUCACCAAGGCGACGAUGCGUAGCCGACCUGAGAGGGUGAACGGCCACACUGGGACUGAGACACGGCCCAGACUCCUACGGGAGGCAGCAGUAGGGAAUCUUCCACAAUGGGCGAAAGCCUGAUGGAGCAACGCCGCGUGAGUGAAGAAAGCCUUCGGGUCGUAAAGCUCUGCUGCCAGGGAAGAAUAAAGGCUAGUUAACUGCUAGUCCGAUGACGGUACCUGAGAAGAAAGCCCCGGCUAACUACGUGCCAGCAGCCGCGGUAAUACGUAGGGGGCAAGCGUUGUCCGGAAUUAUUGGGCGUAAAGCGCGCGCAGGCGGCCUUUUAAGUCUGGUGUUUAAGUGCGGGGCUCAACCCCGUGACGCACCGGAAACUGGGAAGCUUGAGUGCAAAAGAGAGAGCGGAAUUCCCGUGUAGCGGUGGAAUGCGUAGAGAUGUGGAGGAACACCAGUGGCGAAAGCGGCUCUCCGGACUGUAACUGACGCUGAAGCGCGAAAGCGUGGGGGACCAACCAAGAUUAAAUACCCCGGUAAUCCACGCCGUAAACGAUGAGUGCUAAGUGGGUGGGGGGGGUCCACCCCCUCGGUAGCCAAAGUUACACAUUUAGCACUCCAGCCUGGGGGAGUACAGGUCGCAAGACUGGAACUCCAAGGAAUUGACGGGGACCGGCCCAAGCGUGGGAAUUAUGUGUUUUAUUCCAAACCACGCGAAAAACCCUUCCAGGUCCUGGAAUCCCUCUGACCG
This 969-nucleotide ribosomal RNA is filed under the name Firmicutes bacterium enrichment culture clone CTBE CDB1010D12. RNAcentral describes it as "bacterial SSU rRNA". It matches the Rfam family "Bacterial small subunit ribosomal RNA", at positions 45 to 998 of the family's 1533-position model. Lineage: Bacteria; Bacillati; Bacillota. The record is from RNAcentral.